This 559-nucleotide ribosomal RNA is filed under the name Salmonella enterica. Its description in RNAcentral is "bacterial SSU rRNA". It matches the Rfam family "Bacterial small subunit ribosomal RNA", at positions 963 to 1522 of the family's 1533-position model. RNAcentral also lists the same sequence under 1 other name. The record is from RNAcentral. Lineage: Bacteria; Pseudomonadati; Pseudomonadota; Gammaproteobacteria; Enterobacterales; Enterobacteriaceae.
GAAGAACCUUACCUGGUCUUGACAUCCACAGAACUUUCCAGAGAUGGAUUGGUGCCUUCGGGAACUGUGAGACAGGUGCUGCAUGGCUGUCGUCAGCUCGUGUUGUGAAAUGUUGGGUUAAGUCCCGCAACGAGCGCAACCCUUAUCCUUUGUUGCCAGCGAUUAGGUCGGGAACUCAAAGGAGACUGCCAGUGAUAAACUGGAGGAAGGUGGGGAUGACGUCAAGUCAUCAUGGCCCUUACGACCAGGGCUACACACGUGCUACAAUGGCGCAUACAAAGAGAAGCGACCUCGCGAGAGCAAGCGGACCUCAUAAAGUGCGUCGUAGUCCGGAUUGGAGUCUGCAACUCGACUCCAUGAAGUCGGAAUCGCUAGUAAUCGUGGAUCAGAAUGCCACGGUGAAUACGUUCCCGGGCCUUGUACACACCGCCCGUCACACCAUGGGAGUGGGUUGCAAAAGAAGUAGGUAGCUUAACCUUCGGGAGGGCGCUUACCACUUUGUGAUUCAUGACUGGGGUGAAGUCGUAACAAGGUAACCGUAGGGGAACCUGCGGUUGGA